Molecule: long non-coding RNA, 215 nt
Filed under: Elaeis guineensis (African oil palm)
Lineage: Eukaryota; Viridiplantae; Streptophyta; Magnoliopsida; Arecales; Arecaceae
Description: long non-coding RNA (EGUI_LNC042621)
Source: RNAcentral
AGAUUUUUCUUCUCAAGAAGAAUCUUGAUCUUAAAGACUUUGAUCAACUCCUCUGAUCUUAACUGCGAGAUCAACUCUUUUGAUCUGUAGCCUUUUUCUUCUUCUCCUUGAUCCUUGAUCUUUAAGUCACCAAUACUUCUUGGCAUGUGGAAGAGAGAGCACCCAACUUUUGGGUGUGGAAAUGAAGAAAAUGAUGAGAGGAGGUGUGGACAUGG